GACGAACCGUGCGAACGUUGUUCGGAAUCACUGGGCUUAAAGGGCGCGUAGGCGGACGGGUAAGUCCGGGGUGAAAUCGUUCGGCUUAACCGGACAACAGCCCUGGAUACUGCCGGUCUGGAGGAAGGUAGGGGCAGCUGGAACUUCCGGUGGAGCGGUGAAAUGCGUUGAUAUCGGAAGGAACGCCGGUGGCGAAAGCGAGCUGCUGGACCUUUUCUGACGCUGAGGCGCGAAAGCCAGGGGAGCAAACGGG
Molecule: ribosomal RNA, 253 nt
Filed under: uncultured bacterium
Lineage: Bacteria
Description: partial 16S ribosomal RNA
Rfam family: Bacterial small subunit ribosomal RNA
Source: RNAcentral